This 84-nucleotide small nuclear RNA is filed under the name Catagonus wagneri (Chacoan peccary). The record is from RNAcentral. Lineage: Eukaryota; Metazoa; Chordata; Mammalia; Artiodactyla; Tayassuidae.
ACAAAAAAAAAUUGGAAAGAUACAGAGAAGUUUAGCAUGGCCCCUGCGCAAGGAUGACACAAGGAUGACGCAUUCCAUAUUAAA